GUGUCAGCAGCCGCGGUAAUACGGAGGGUGCAAGCGUUAAUCGGAUUUAUUGGGCGUAAAGAGCACGUAGGCGGAGUGGAAAGUUAGAUGUGAAAACCCGGGGCUCAACUCCGGAUCCGCAACUAAAACUCCCAUUCUAGAGGAUGGACGGAGAAAAGGGAAUUCCACGUGUAGCGGUGAAAUGCGUAGAUAUGUGGAAGAACACCAGUGGCGAAGGCGCUUUUCUAGUUUAUACCUGACGCUGAGGAGCGAAAGCAAGGGGAGCAAACAGGAUUAGAUACCCUGGUAGUCCUUGCUGUAAACGAUGUACACUUGAUGUAACUGGUCUCAACCCCAGUUGUGUCGUAGCUAACGCGAUAAGUGUACCGCCUGAGGAGUACGCUCGCAAGGGUGAA
Molecule: ribosomal RNA, 395 nt
Filed under: uncultured bacterium
Lineage: Bacteria
Description: bacterial SSU rRNA
Rfam family: Bacterial small subunit ribosomal RNA
Source: RNAcentral